RNAcentral lists this transfer RNA (88 nucleotides) under Streptococcus sp. HMSC072D07. RNAcentral describes it as "tRNA-Ser". It matches the Rfam family "tRNA". Rfam says of the family: Transfer RNA (tRNA) molecules are approximately 80 nucleotides in length. Their secondary structure includes four short double-helical elements and three loops (D, anti-codon, and T loops). The record is from RNAcentral. Lineage: Bacteria; Bacillati; Bacillota; Bacilli; Lactobacillales; Streptococcaceae.
GGAGAAUUACUCAAGAGGCUGAAGAGGACGGUUUGCUAAAUCGUUAGGUCGGGUAAUCGGCGCGGGGGUUCGAAUCCCCCAUUCUCCG